This 240-nucleotide ribosomal RNA is filed under the name uncultured eukaryote. Its description in RNAcentral is "partial small subunit ribosomal RNA". It matches the Rfam family "Eukaryotic small subunit ribosomal RNA", at positions 1208 to 1456 of the family's 1831-position model. The record is from RNAcentral.
GGGAACCUCACCCGGCCCGGACACCGCGAGGAUUGACAGACUGAGAGCUCUUUCUCGAUUCGGUGGGUGGUGGUGCAUGGCCGUUCUUAGUUGGUGGAGCGAUCUGUCUGGUUAAUUCCGAUAACGAACGAGACCCCAACCUGCUAACUAGCCCUCGGGUCCGGCUUAUGGCGGGCCCGACGGAAUGAUUCGCUUCUUAGAGGGACUCGCGGCGCCUAGCCGCACGAAGGGGGGCGAUAA